This 22-nucleotide microRNA is filed under the name Ascaris suum (pig roundworm). Its description in RNAcentral is "asu-miR-5357-3p". The record is from miRBase by way of RNAcentral. Lineage: Eukaryota; Metazoa; Nematoda; Chromadorea; Rhabditida; Ascarididae.
AAUGGACAACGAUUUGGGUGAG